RNAcentral lists this RNase P RNA (307 nucleotides) under Mola mola (ocean sunfish). RNAcentral describes it as "Nuclear RNase P (ENSMMOG00000011497.1)". It matches the Rfam family "Nuclear RNase P". Rfam says of the family: Ribonuclease P (RNase P) is a ubiquitous endoribonuclease, found in archaea, bacteria and eukarya as well as chloroplasts and mitochondria. Its best characterised activity is the generation of mature 5'-ends of tRNAs by cleaving the 5'-leader elements of precursor-tRNAs. Cellular RNase Ps are ribonucleoproteins. The record is from Rfam by way of RNAcentral. Lineage: Eukaryota; Metazoa; Chordata; Actinopteri; Tetraodontiformes; Molidae.
GUGGGCGGAAGCUCAUUGUAGAGGUCACAUACGGAGUGCUAGUCACUCAACCAAUCAUCUCGGGGAAGGUCUGAGACAAGAGCCAAUAGUUGUCCUUGCGGGACAUCACCUGACUCGGGUGAGCGAGUGAACAGACAAAAUGGGUCAAGUGUGCAGUUCUCGCAGGAGAAACCAGAUGGUGCUAUUUCCCAGCGCCGCUGGCGGAUGUGACGCACACUGACUUGGAAUCGCUCGCGGCUGGCGGAUGAGUUCGAUGUAUGAGGUGGAGUACGUCUCCAGAACCCAAUUCAGACUACUCUCCCCCCAC